AUUGAACGCUGGCGGCAGGCCUAACACAUGCAAGUCGAACGAGUGGCGGACGGGUGAGUAAUGUCUGGGAAACUGCCCGAUGGAGGGGGAUAACUACUGGAAACGGUAGCUAAUACCGCAUACCAUCGGAUGUGCCCAGAUGGGAUUAGCUAGUAGGUGGGGUAACGGCUCACCUAGGCGACGAUCCCUAGCUGGUCUGAGAGGAUGACCAGACAGACUGGAACGGAGACACGGUCCAGACUCCUCCGGAACGCAGCAGUGGGGAAUAUUGAACAAUGGGCGCAAUCCUGAUGCAGCCAUGCGGCGUGUAUGAAGAAGGCCUUCGGAUUGUAAAGUACUUUCAGCGAUGAGGCGUUACUCGCAGAAGAAGCACCGGCUAACUCCGUGCCAGCGGCCACGGAAAUUC
This 406-nucleotide ribosomal RNA is filed under the name uncultured bacterium. RNAcentral describes it as "partial 16S ribosomal RNA". It matches the Rfam family "Bacterial small subunit ribosomal RNA", at positions 30 to 526 of the family's 1533-position model. The record is from RNAcentral.